Long non-coding RNA from Drosophila gunungcola (fruit fly), 2773 nucleotides. RefSeq lists it as uncharacterized. Lineage: Eukaryota; Metazoa; Arthropoda; Insecta; Diptera; Drosophilidae. The record is from RefSeq and is a predicted model, not a curated record. The transcript is spliced from 3 exons.
CACACGCGCUGUCCCUAGUCACGGCAAGACACUGGAAAUAAAACUGGACUAAUGAUUGCGCCCACAUUUUAGAAUUUAAUGACGUCGGGCUUGACGAAUGCAGCAAUCUGACAAGUUAAUAAGCAAGAGUGACAUCUUGCAGAAACGGCUUUCGGAUAAGGUGCAGUUAAAAUGAUUCCUGCUUAACGCCCGUCCUGGAUCUGAACACAACAGCCCAUGAGACCUUCUGUAAACAAUCGCAUGGACCUUAUUGCUUGCAUAUGGACCCAUGGGGACAUACUGGACGACUGUACAUUAAAUAAAGAUGAAAACACCUCACUUAACACCUAACUUACCACUUCACAAUGGAGAAAACGGCAAGAGAAUGUGUUAGUUAUCAGCGCUAGUUGCGGACUGCGCCGUAAUAAGUACUUACUUGUCACCCUCUGAUGACAUACAGACCUUCCAAAGCAAGCAUGACGAUAUUGAAGGCGCUCCAAGGAAAAAGAGUUCUAGACAUGGCGGCGAGACUGGGGAUGGUAGUUGCAAACACAGGCUCAACCGCUACAUUAAGGUGCAUAGGAAACGCGGUUAAACAAAACAGCCCUAAUCAAUGAAAAUCCACGCAAGACGUAUACUGGAGGACAAAUUAAAUAAAAACUUUAAGAGAGAAAUGCCUCAAAACAAACGUAGAGGAAUCUUUUCCAACCAGGAGCAAGAGUACAAAAGAUCUAAGAGGGAAUGCUAUCAGGAAGUCUAAAAUUAGUAAGUGGAAUUCCCUCUGCAGCGACGAUUCUGAAUUAUGGGGACUGGGAUCUAAAAUUGUAACGAAGAAACUUAGGUCUUGGAAUGCCCUGCCGGAACUUCAAGAAUAACAAAUGGAUAAAAUAGUACAUCAUUGACAGUGCCACAAAAGGUUUUAAAAUUAGGAGAACCCUGGGGCUUGAUAACAUACCAAUCACAAACCGCGCACCCUUGGUUUGUUAGACAUGUUGCAGUGGAAACGAUAACAUUUGGUUCUGAUAAGCAAAGGAAAAGGAGAUCCCUCAGCCUCAUCAGUAUAUCGACCUUUGUGUAUGUAAAAUAACAGGAAAGUUUCGGAGCUAUUCAAAAGGAGGUUUAUGAGACACUACCGAGCCAACAAGGGUCACCCACAGGUGAGUGACGGGCUUGACACACGCGCUGUCCCUAGUCACGGCAAGACACUGGAAAUAAAACUGGACUAACGAUUGCGCCCACAUUUUAGAAUUUAAUGACGUCGGGCUUGACGAAUGCAGCAAUCUGACACCUUAAUAAGCAAGAGUGACAUCUUGCAGAAACGGCUUUCGGAUAAGGUUACUUUCGCAUCCAUCCAGUUGAAACCUGGGAAGUUUUUAAUUACUUUCAAACCACAUUACCGUUUAUUUGGCGGUACAGGUGCAGUUAAAAUGAUUCCUGCUUAACGCCCGUCCUGGAUCUGAACACAACAGCCCAUGAGACCUUCUGUCAACAAUCGCAUGGACCUUACUGCUUGCAUAUGGACCCAUGGGGACAUACUGGACGACUGUACCUUAAAUAAAGAUGAAAACACCUCACUUAACACUUAACUUACCACUUCACAAUGGAGAAAACGGCAAGAGAAGGUGUUAGUUAUCAGCGCUAGUUGCGGACUGCACCGUAAUAAGUACUUACUUGUCACCCUCUGAUGACAUACAGACCUUCCAAAGCAAGCAUGACGAUAUUGAAGGCGCUCCAAGGAAAAAGAGUUCUAGACAUGGCGGCGAGACUGGGGAUGGUAGUUGCAAACACAGGCUCAACCGCUACAUUAAGGUGAAUAGGAAACGCGGUUAAACAAAACAGCCCUAAUCAAUGAAAAUCCACGCAAGACGUAUACUGGAGGACAAACUAAAUAAAAACUUUAAGAGAGAAAUGCUUCAAAACAAACGUAGAGGAAUCUUUUCCAACCAGGAGCAAGAGUACAAUAGAGCUAAGAGGGAAUGCUAUCAGGAAGUCUAAAAUUAGUAAGUGGAAUUCCCUCUGCAGCGACGAUUCUGAAUUAUGGGGACUGGGAUCUAAAAUUGUAACGAAGAAACUUAGGUCUUGGAAUGCCCUGCCGGAACUUCAAGAAUAACAAAUGGAUAAAAUAGUACAUCAUUGACAGUGCCACAAAAGGUUUUAAAAUAAGGAGAACCCUGAGGCUUGAUAACAUACCAAUCACAAACCGCGCACCCUUGGUUUUUUAGACAUGUUGCAGUGGAAACGAUAACAUUUGGUUCUGAUAAGCAAAGGAAAAGGAGAUCCCUCAGCCUCAUCAGUAUAUCGACCUUUGUGUAUGUAAAAUAACAGGAAAGUUUCGGAGCUAUUCAAAAGGUGGUUUAUGAGACACUACCGAGCCAACAAGGUAAUCACUUCUCGAGACCUAUAGAACUCUUAGCUACUUCGGUUGUUUAUUUAUUUCUUUAUUUAUUUAUUCGCCAAUGGAUUAAUCCUUAUCCAACUUAUAAGCUAACUUAACUCUAAAACUAAUUAUGAAUGAAAAAAUAUUCCCUAUGCCUAAGCACAUCUUUCUUGGAUCCCCAACCCAAUCGAAUGCUCGCUGGUAAGGAGUUAAACAGUGUCAAAGCUCUUAAAAUUGGCUCAGUACAGUGUUUCUUUUGACAAAUCCGAACAUCGCGUAUGCCUUCGGUAGAAUAUAAUUUAUAUGAUUAAUCAACAAAAAUGUACUGUCAAAGAGGACCCCAAGAUCCACAAUUUCGAUAAGUGCAAAGAGUUAGUGGUUAUUAAUAACAUAUGUUGAAAGAACAUUUAAGAUAAA